This 567-nucleotide long non-coding RNA is filed under the name Homo sapiens (human). Lineage: Eukaryota; Metazoa; Chordata; Mammalia; Primates; Hominidae. The record is from RNAcentral.
CCCCUGUCUAAGGCCCCACCCCCACAGACUUAAGUGAAGACCCGCAUUCCUACUUUCUAUCCCAAAUGUUGCGUUUUCUAAGACCACUCUGGCCCGCCAUACCUCCAUCCUGGGCCUAUAAAAAUCCGAGACCCUAGCAAGACAGAAACGGAAGCUGCUGGACGACGAGAUGAAAAUAUCGGCCAAAGAAGACAAGCCACCGGACAUUGAGAGGACAUCGAGGGGAGCCCCCGCUUGUCGCACGCCCUGCCACAGGGAUGAGGGAACCUCUCCAGUUUCAAUAUUAUCCAACCACGUUGAUCACUUAAGAAAAAGAAGCCUUGUGCUAUUAAAGAAGAAUAAGGAGGAGGAAGAGGAGGAGACGGAAGAGAGGAGAAGAGAGGAGCAGGGGAAAAGCAUACGGACAGAAGAACACACAAAAGACUGAGAGUUGAUUCUGAUGGCAUUUUCUUUCUUAGGUAGUUUUUUCUAAGCUCCAGACUCAUUAUCAUCCUUGUUUUCUACAAGCCACACUAAUAUCAUCUUAAUAAAUUAUUUUAUUUUUUGCUGAAAAACAUCUUGAGUCCU